RNAcentral lists this ribosomal RNA (406 nucleotides) under uncultured bacterium. Its description in RNAcentral is "partial 16S ribosomal RNA". It matches the Rfam family "Bacterial small subunit ribosomal RNA", at positions 29 to 526 of the family's 1533-position model. The record is from RNAcentral.
AUUGAACGCUGGCGGCAGGCCUAACACAUGCAAGUCGAACGAGUGGCGGACGGGUGAGUAAUGUCUGGGACACUGCCCGAUGGAGGGGGAUAACUACUGGAAACGGUAGCUAAUACCGCAUACCAUCGGAUGUGCCCAGAUGGGAUUAGCUAGUAGGUGGGGUAAUGGCUCACCUAGGCGACGAUCCCUAGCUGGUCUGAGAGGAUGACCAGCAAAACUGGAACUGAGACACGGUCCAAAGUCCUACGGGAGGCAGCAGUGGGGAAUAUUGGACAAUGGGGGAAAGCCUGAUGCAGAAAUGCGGCGUGUAUGAAGAAGGCCUUGGGGUGGUAAAGUACUUUCAGAGAGGAGGCGUUACUCGAAGAAGAAGCAACGGCUAACUCCGUGCCAGCAGCCGCGGUAAUUC